Molecule: ribosomal RNA, 580 nt
Filed under: uncultured rumen bacterium
Lineage: Bacteria
Description: bacterial SSU rRNA
Rfam family: Bacterial small subunit ribosomal RNA
Source: RNAcentral
AAGUACUUAUCAAAGAUGGCCUCUGCUUGUAAGCUAUCACUUAGAGAUGGGCCUGCGUCUGAUUAGCUAGUUGGUGGGGUAAUGGCUCACCAAGGCGACGAUCAGUAGCCGGUCUGAGAGGAUGAACGGCCACAUUGGGACUGAGACACGGCCCAGACUCCUACGGGAGGCAGCAGUGGGGAAUCUUCCGCAAUGGGCGAAAGCCUGACGGAGCAACGCCGCGUGAGUGAAGAAGGUCUUCGGAUCGUAAAGCUCUGUCGAAGGGGACGAAUGUGGGUUCUAUCAACAACGGAACCUAAUGACGGUACCUUUCAAGAAAGCCACGGCUAACUACGUGCCAGCAGCCGCGGUAAUACGUAGGUGGCGAGCGUUGUCCGGAAUCAUUGGGCGUAAAGGGAGCGCAGGCGGGGAAUCAAGUCUAUCUUAAAAGUUCGGGGCUCAACCCCGUGAUGGGAUGGAAACUGGUUCUCUUGAGUGCAGGAGAGGAAAGCGGAAUUCCUAGUGUAGCGGUGAAAUGCGUAGAUAUUAGGAGGAACACCAGUGGCGAAGGCGGCUUUCUGGACUGUAACUGACGCUGAGG